CCCAGACAGCCAGGAUGUUGGCUUAGAAGCAGCCAUCAUUUAAAGAAAGCGUAAUAGCUCACUGGUCGAGUCGGCCUGCGCGGAAGAUGUAACGGGGCUAAACCAUGCACCGAAGCUGCGGCAGCGAACGUAUCACUUAAAGCGAUUCAGCGGGUUACGAUUGACGGAGCGAAGCGACGUCAAAGCGUAUACAAAGUCGAGUCGGUUUAAGGAUACGUUCGUUGGGUAGGGGAGCGUUCUGUAAGCCUGUGAAGGUGUGUCGUGAGGCAUGCUGGAGGUAUCAGAAGUGCGAAUGCUGACAUAAGUAACGAUAAAGCGGGUGAAAAGCCCGCUCGCCGGAAGACCAAGGGUUCCUGUCCAACGUUAAUCGGGGCAGGGUGAGUCGACCCCUAAGGC
RNAcentral lists this ribosomal RNA (396 nucleotides) under Salmonella enterica subsp. enterica serovar Infantis. RNAcentral describes it as "bacterial LSU rRNA". It matches the Rfam family "Bacterial large subunit ribosomal RNA", at positions 1084 to 1397 of the family's 2925-position model. The record is from RNAcentral. Lineage: Bacteria; Pseudomonadati; Pseudomonadota; Gammaproteobacteria; Enterobacterales; Enterobacteriaceae. RNAcentral also lists the same sequence under 4 other names.